GAGCGCCCCGCAAGGGGAGCGGCAGACGGGAGAGUAACACGUGGGAACGUACCCUUCGGUUCGGAACAACCCAGGGAAACUUGGGCUAAUACCGGAUACGUCCGAAAGGAGAAAGAUUCAUCGCCGAAGGAUCGGCCCGCGUCUGAUUAGCUUGUUGGUGAGGUAACGGCUCACCAAGGCGACGAUCAGUAGCUGGUCUGAGAGGAUGAUCAGCCUCACUGGGACUGAGACACGGCCCAGACUCCUACGGGAGGCAGCAGUGGGGAAUAUUGGACAAUGGGCGCAAGCCUGAUCCAGCCAUGCCGCGUGGGUGAUGAAGGCCCUAGGGUUGUAAAGCCCUUUCGGCGGGGAAGAUAAUGACGGUACCCGCAGAAGAAGCCCCGGCUAACUUCGUG
This 395-nucleotide ribosomal RNA is filed under the name uncultured bacterium. RNAcentral describes it as "bacterial SSU rRNA". It matches the Rfam family "Bacterial small subunit ribosomal RNA", at positions 64 to 507 of the family's 1533-position model. The record is from RNAcentral.